This 1398-nucleotide ribosomal RNA is filed under the name uncultured bacterium. RNAcentral's name for it is "16S ribosomal RNA". It matches the Rfam family "Bacterial small subunit ribosomal RNA". The record is from RNAcentral.
UUAGAGUUUGAUCCUGGCUCAGGAUGAACGCUGGCGGCGUGCCUAACACAUUCAAGUCGAACGGAGUGAGAAAUGCUUGCAUUUCACAUUUAGUGGCGGACGGGUGAGUAACGCGUGAGCAACCUACCUAAAUGAGCGGAACAACUCCUGGAAACGGGAGCUAAUACCGCAUAACAUAGUGAUAUCACAUGGUAACAUUAUCAAAGGAGCAAUCCGCAUAUAGAUGGGCUCGCGUCUGAUUAGCUAGUUGGUGGAGUAAAGGUUCACCAAGGCAACGAUCAGUAGCCGGACUGAGAGGUUGACCGGCCACAUUGGAACUGAGAAACGGUCCAGACUCCUACGGGAGGCAGCAGUGGGGAAUAUUGGGCAAUGGGCGAGAGCCUGACCCAGCGACGCCGCGUGAAGGAAGAAGGUCUUCGGAUUGUAAACUUCUUUUGUGAGGGAAGAAAGAUGGGGUAGAACUCCAUCGUGACGGUACCUCAAAAACAAGCCACGGCUAACUACGUGCCAGCAGCCGCGGUAAUACGUAGGUGGCGAGCGUUGUCCGGAAUUACUGGGUGUAAAGGGCGUGUAGGCGGGGGAGCAAGUCAGAUGUGAAAUACCGAGGCUUAACUUCGGGGGUGCAUCUGAAACUGUUUUUCUUGAGUAUCGGAGAGGAAAGUGGAAUUCCUAGUGUAGCGGUGAAAUGCGUAGAUAUUAGGAGGAACACCAGUGGCGAAGGCGACUUUCUGGACGAUAACUGACGCUGAGGCGCGAAAGCGUGGGGAGCAAACAGGAUUAGAUACCCUGGUAGUCCACGCCGUAAACGAUGGAUACUAGGUGUAGGAGGUAUCGACCCCUUCUGUGCCGCAGUUAACACAAUAAGUAUCCCACCUGGGGAGUACGGCCGCAAGGCUGAAACUCAAAGGAAUUGACGGGGACCCGCACAAGCAGUGGAGUAUGUGGUUUAAUUCGAAGCAACGCGAAGAACCUUACCAGGGCUUGACAUGCAGGUGAAUAUGCUAGAGAUAGUAUAGUCCUUCGGGACACCUGUGCAGGUGGUGCAUGGUUGUCGUCAGCUCGUGUCGUGAGAUGUUGGGUUAAGUCCCGCAACGAGCGCAACCCCCGUUGCUAGUUGCCAUCAUUAAGUUGGGCACUCUAGCGAGACUGCCGGUGACAAAUCGGAGGAAGGGGGGGGGGACGUCAAAUCAUCAUGGCCCUUAUAUCCGGGGGGACACACGUGCUACAAUGGUCGGUUCAGCGGGAAGCGAUGCUGCGAGGCAAAGCGGAUCCCCCAAAGCCGAUCUCAGUUCGGAUGGAAGUCUGCAACUCGACUUCAUGAAGCAGGAAUCGCUAGUAAUCGCGGAUCAGCCAAGCCGCGGGGAAUACGUUCCCGGGCCUUGUACUCACCGCCCGUCA